This 253-nucleotide ribosomal RNA is filed under the name uncultured bacterium. Its description in RNAcentral is "partial 16S ribosomal RNA". It matches the Rfam family "Bacterial small subunit ribosomal RNA", at positions 524 to 776 of the family's 1533-position model. The record is from RNAcentral.
UACGUAGGGUGCAGGCGUUAAUCGGGAUUACUGGGCGUAAAGCGUGCGCAGGCGGUUUGCUAAGAGAGAUGUGAAAUCCCCGGGCUUAACCUGGGAACUGCGUUUCUAACUGGCAGGCUAGAGUGUGGCAGAGGGGGGUGGAAUUCCACGUGUAGCAGUGAAAUGCGUAGAGAUGUGGAGGAACACCGAUGGCGAAGGCAGCCCCCUGGGCUAACACUGACGCUCAUGCACGAAAGCGUGGGGAGCAAACAGG